UACGUAGGCGGAUUGGCAAGUUGGAUGUGAAAUCUUUGAGCUCAACUCAAAAACUGCGUCCAAAACUGCCGAUCUAGAGUCUAGGAUAGGAAAGCGGAAUUCCUAGUGUAGGAGUGAAAUCUAUAGAUAUUAGGAAGAACACCGAUGGCGUAGGCAGCUUUCUGGCCUAAGACUGACGCUAAUGUACGAAAGCUAGGGGAGCGAGCG
RNAcentral lists this ribosomal RNA (207 nucleotides) under uncultured bacterium. RNAcentral's name for it is "partial 16S ribosomal RNA". It matches the Rfam family "Bacterial small subunit ribosomal RNA", at positions 568 to 774 of the family's 1533-position model. The record is from RNAcentral.